UAAUUGGUUAAGAACGAGAACAAGUUGCAAGACCCUACUAUUCAAUCUUAAGGUUCAAGGUCACAUUAGUAUGAUAAGAUGGGUCGUUUCUCUUAGGGUCAUCUAGUCAUUAUCCACAUAAUUCCUCCUCAAUAAUUGAAAGAUUAUGUCCCCUAAACCUACUUUGGAGGCUUAUGUAGUGGAGAGCUUAUUUGUAAAGGCUUUGGUAGUUUUUAGAAUAGUUUAGUUGGAUAUAAUUUUUAUGCAACUAAAAAGAGAGAGAGAGAGGAAGAAUAGUGGAGUCUAAUCAAUUUUUUUCUAUUAGAAACCUAGUUCUAGAUAUAUUAAGUGAUCUAUGAUUUUAUAUUUAUAAAGUGAACUAUAAGAGAAGUAUUAUUCAAAAGAGAAAAAAAAAAAAAAAACAGAGAGAGAGAAAGAAGUAAUUUGUAAUAGAAAGAACGCAAUCAAACAUAAAAUAAAAAAAAGUAAUGAAGAUCUCCCCCAUCUCAUAGGAUGGAUUUCAAGUUCUAAUCUCAAACAGGCAAACUCAAUAAAAGAAAUUAAUCUUGACGUGGUCUUUAAAUUAGUGUAUCUACUAACCUAUGGACAUCUCAUUUCCCUUAAGAAGGAUGAGGCUAGAAGAACAAAUUAAUUUGCGAAAAUAAAAAUAAAGAAGAUAUAAAAUGUUUUAAUAAAAACUCACCGGAGAGUGAGUGUUGAUAUAGAUGACUAAGAGAACUAGAUUACCUAAAAUUCAUUUGUAUCACCACAACAUCCACAAAUUGAUCCUCAUGAUAAAAUUGCAUACCCAGUGGGUUACAAGUAAUAUCAAGUACUUGCAAUUUGCAAAUGAGAGUUUGAGUAUUCAAUAGCAAUAUGCCUAUAUUACAUUCCAAUAGACUUAAAGUUUAGAUUAAAUUCAUUGUAAAUUUUGUAAUAUGGUGAGUUCCAAUAAGCUCAAAUAAGCAAAUUCCAAGUACAAUGAUAGUUACAUCGAUUGAUUGCAAUUUUCGAGCAUCCAACCUUUCACGAAGCCAUAAUCCAAAUGAGCUUAAACCUUGUAUACUACGAGUAGGCUAAAGUCUCAUGAACACGUUUUAAUCAUCAUCUAUGCAAUCAAAAUAUAAAUGAAAUUUUUGCACAAAUUUGUUCCCAAAUCUCUUCAACAUGGAUUACUUUGACGCACUAUUAUCAUCAAAUUCCAAAGACCCACGAACAAUCCACGCCCACAUUAUCAAAACAUCAAACGCACAACAUUCCCUCUCUUUCCUCAACAGGUUGAUCACUUUUUACUCAAAAUCCCACCAUUUUUCCGAAGCUUUUGCAGUUUUCCGGCAAAUCCCAUCUCCCAACGUCGUCUCAUGGACUUCCCUCAUCUCCGGCAACCCCAAUUCUCCGCUUUCUCUGCGCCAUUUCAUCGCCAUGCUCCGCCACCCUACUCGCCCCAAUCAGCGAACUUUAGCCUCUAUUAUCAAGACUUGUGCUACUCUUUCUCUGCUAACCUUUGGAACCCAGGUUCAUUCUCUCUCCCUUAAGCUUUCUCUGUCAUCUCAGCCCUUUUGCGCUUCUGCCCUUGUUCAUUUUUACUCGAAAUUGCGGCUUCCUGAUCAUGCAUUUAAGGUGUUCGAUGAAAUGCCUGAGAGAGAUGGGGUUUGUUAUUCGUCUAUGGUUGUUGGGUUUGCUCAGAAUUCUCGUCCUGUUGAGGCUUUGGGUCUUUUUGCUGAGAUGGUGUCUCGGAAUGCGAGUUCUACGGUUUAUAGUGUUUCCGGGGCGCUAGGUGCUGGUGCCGAGCUUGCUACUUUGGAACAAUGUAGAGUUAUUCAUGGUCAUGGAGUUGUUACAGGGCUUAUUAAAGCUAUUUAUGUUAGUACUGGAUUGGUUACUGCAUAUGGGAAGUGUGGUAUGGUAAUGGAAGCUAGGAGGGUGUUUGAUGAGUUCUUGCCUGAUAUGAAUAUUGUGGGAUGGAAUGCCAUGAUGGCCUCUUAUGCUCAACAAGGUGAUCAAUCUUCAGUUCUUGAGCUUUUUGGUUUAUUCGAAUCGCGAGGACUUGCACCUGAUGAUUUCAGUUUCUUGGCUGUGUUAACAUCAUUAUAUAAUGCGGGUUUGGCUGAUGAGACGGAGUAUUGGAUUAAUCAGAUGAAUGUAAAGUAUGGUUUAAAGCCUUCAUUAGAGCACUAUACUUGUUUAGUGGGUGCAUUGGGUAGAGUUGGGAGAUUGGAUGAUGCUGAGCGGAUUGCUAUGACCAUGCCAAUUAAGCCGGAUGCUGGUGUGUGGCGGGUUUUACUGUCAGCAAGUGCGGCACAUGGUGAUGCUGAUGUUGCUUGGAGGAUGAGUAAGCGGUUAUUGGAACUUGACCCUAAUGAUGACUCCGCGUAUGUGAUAGCUGCGAAUACAUUCUCUGCUUCGGGGAGGUGGAAUGAGGCUGCAAAUGUUAGGAAGAUGAUGAAUAAUGUGAACGUGAAGAAGGAAGGUGGGAGGAGUUGGAUGGAAGUUCGAGGAAAAGUGCACAUGUUUUUAGCAGGGGACAGCGAGCAUGAACAGAUAAAAGAGGUUUAUGCAAAGCUUGCAGAACUCAUGAAAGAGAUUGAAAAACUCGGUUAUGUGCCAAAUUGGAGCGAGAUGUUACAUGAUGUUGAGGAAGGGGAGAAAAGAGAAGGGCUUUCAUAUCAUAGUGAGAAGUUGGCGUUGGCAUAUGGGGUGUUAAGUGGGGCAGCACCUCCUGGAAAACCUUUGAGGAUUCUGAAGAAUCUUAGAAUUUGCAGGGAUUGCCAUGAAGCCUUCAAGUAUUUCAGUAGGCUGUUGGAAAGGGAAAUUAUUGUGCGCGAUGUCAACAGAUACCAUAGAUUUAUUGACGGAAGCUGUACUUGCCGAGAUUAUUGGUAACCCGUGUAAAGUGUUACUACAUUACCAGCUAUGGCAACUAACAAGUUGCAUUGUUUUCAGUCAGCUGAACUAUGGUACAAUUUUCCUCCCUAUUUGAGGGAUUGGCAAAGAGUGUUUCAUCCAAGGGCAGGAACACUAAG
This is an RNA transcript of Chenopodium quinoa (quinoa), 3002 nucleotides long. It is a transcript of the gene named probable protein phosphatase 2C 34, with no coding region annotated. NCBI's taxonomy places the organism in Eukaryota, Viridiplantae, Streptophyta, Magnoliopsida, Caryophyllales, Amaranthaceae. The record is from RefSeq and is a predicted model, not a curated record. The transcript has 2 exons.